RNAcentral lists this ribosomal RNA (465 nucleotides) under Vreelandella stevensii. RNAcentral describes it as "partial 16S ribosomal RNA". It matches the Rfam family "Bacterial small subunit ribosomal RNA", at positions 338 to 795 of the family's 1533-position model. Lineage: Bacteria; Pseudomonadati; Pseudomonadota; Gammaproteobacteria; Oceanospirillales; Halomonadaceae. The record is from RNAcentral.
CCUACGGGGCGCAGCAGUGGGGAAUAUUGGACAAUGGGCGAAAGCCUGAUCCAGCCAUGCCGCGUGUGUGAAGAAGGCCUUCGGGUUGUAAAGCACUUUCAGUGGGGAAGAAAGCCUUGGGGCUAAUACCCUCGAGGAAGGACAUCACCCACAGAAGAAGCACCGGCUAACUCCGUGCCAGCAGCCGCGGUAAUACGGAGGGUGCGAGCGUUAAUCGGAAUUACUGGGCGUAAAGCGCGCGUAGGCGGUCUGAUAAGCCGGUUGUGAAAGCCCCGGGCUCAACCUGGGAACGGCAUCCGGAACUGUCAGGCUAGAGUGCAGGAGAGGAAGGUAGAAUUCCCGGUGUAACGGUGAAAUGCGUAGAGAUCGGGAGGAAUACCAGUGGCGAAGGCGGCCUUCUGGACUGACACUGACGCUGAGGUGCGAAAGCGUGGGUAGCAAACAGGAUUAGAUACCCGUGUAGUC